AACGAACGCUGGCGGCAUGCCUAACACAUGCAAGUCGAACGAGACCUUCGGGUCUAGUGGCGCACGGGUGCGUAACGCGUGGGAACCUGCCCUUAGGUUCGGAAUAACUCCCCGAAAGGGGUGCUAAUACCGGAUAAUGUCUUCGGACCAAAGAUUUAUCGCCUUUGGAUGGGCCCGCGUUGGAUUAGCUAGUUGGUAGGGUAAAAGCCUACCAAGGCGACGAUCCAUAGCUGGUCUGAGAGGAUGAUCAGCCACACUGGGACUGAGACACGGCCCAGACUCCUACGGGAGGCAGCAGUGGGGAAUAUUGCACAAUGGGCGAAAGCCUGAUGCAGCAAUGCCGCGUGAGUGAUGAAGGUCUUAGGGUUGUAAAGCUCUUUUACCCGGGAUGAUAAUGACGGUACCGGGAGAAUAAGCCCCGGCUAACUCCGUG
RNAcentral lists this ribosomal RNA (433 nucleotides) under uncultured bacterium. Its description in RNAcentral is "partial 16S ribosomal RNA". It matches the Rfam family "Bacterial small subunit ribosomal RNA", at positions 29 to 507 of the family's 1533-position model. The record is from RNAcentral.